CACACACACACACACACACACACAACACACACACACACACACACACACACACACACACACACAUACACACACACACACACACACACACACACACACACACACACACACACACACACAAUACACACACACACACAUACACACAAUACACACACACACAUACAUUACACACUUACACACACACAUAUUACAUACACACACACACACACACACAUAUUACACUUACACACACAAAGAUUACACACACACACACAGAUUACACAGAGAGAUAGAGAGAUUACAUACAUACACACACACACACACACACAGAUUACACAGAGAGAGAGAGAGAUUACAUACACACAGAUUACACACACACACACACACAGAGUAUACACACACAGAUUACAUACACACACAUAUUACACUUACACACACACACACACACAGAUUACACACCCAAAUUUUUACUUGGAUGCUCUACCAGGCCAAAUCAGUCUUUCAAUCUCAGCCGUUUAAGAAAAUGCAUUGGUUCCCAGAUUGGACCACAUCAUCUACCAAUCUUCUUCCCCACAAAAACAAAAAAAACUCAAAUAAAAAAAAAAACCCAUUUAACAGAAAACCAGCGGCGGCGCCUGGGGUGUUUACGACGGCCGCAAGCAAAGUAGUGAAUGUUGCAGCAAAUUAAAGAAAAAAAAACAUUUUACCAAAAACCAGUGCAAUCGGCUACCAUGCAUGCCUCUUCGAGUCCAAAACAUUCAACAAUCAGCUUAAUUGACUUCAUAAACUAUCAAAAAAUUCGAAUUGACCCAUAAAAAAAAUCCAAAAAUAAAAAAUCCCCAAAAUAGACGAGGAUCACAGCCCAAAAACCCGAAUUUCUCAAAAACCCAGAAACAAAAAAGCUGGAAGAAGGCGGCAUUACCUCAACUUGGGCACCAACGAGAAGCUUUCGUCGAUGAGGGUGAGGAGGACGACGACGAGGAAGCAGGGCAAGAUCAACGACGAGCGACGAGCAGGACGAGGGACGUUGGGGAUCCUCGCAGAGAUGAGGACGAGCAGGACGUUGGGGAUCCUCGCGGUUUUCUCUCCGUGCUUACGAGUCCGCCCAAAAUUGGGGUUCUUCGUUAAGAACUCGUAAGGAGGCGUGUAAUCCGAGCGAGUCCCACCUAAGCCCAUUAAAGCUAAUCCGGUUGCACACCAAACACAGGACUAUAGUCUAGUCCAGUCCAAGCCUUGCUAAUCCUGUCAAACAAACGUGCCCUAGAGGAAUAUAAAAUGGAGAAAAUCCUCUCUUCCUUUUUUUUUUUCGAGGAAUUACAAUAAUUGUGAGGGAUGGUGAAUGGAAAAGCGAUUUUUUUUUUUUUGUUUUAUUUUGUUGUUUUGUUUUGCUUUGGUCAUUAGGAGUCAUUUUAAGAGGAUAAAAUUGGUAUGAAAUUUUUAUUAAAAAGUGAGUGUGGAGUUAAGACAGUUAGAGGUGAGUUCGUCAGCACUCAAUAAAUAUUAAAUAGGGAUGUGAUAUCCACACAUCAUUUUUUACUUCUCUCACAUCUUUUUGGUUUUCGGCUGUCGGAUCGGAUGAAUUAAAGAAAAUCAACGGACAUAAAUUAACAAGGGGUGUGUGAGAAGUAAAAAGGGGGUGUGGAUAGCACAUCCCUAUUAAAUAUUAAUGCUUCGAUAAGUAUGCGUGUGAUUCGUUGUACUAUACUUCUCUAAUCAUUCUGAUUAAUCAUUGAUAUUUGAAAGGAAUGUGUCUUCAAACCGUUUGAGCUUGCCGGCUAUGCUUCUGGUUUGUUCUAAUCCUAUACUCAAUUCGGUAUCGCUAGUAAAUUUUUAAGGCCUCGUUAAUAUGUUGUAUAUGAUUAAAUUAUAGAAUGGGUAACCUUUUAAAUUCAAGAUAUAUUAAAGAUAGCGUAGAAUGAAUUUUUUCAUUUUGAGGGGAUUACAAAGGGGAUACACGUGAAGAAAAUUUCUUCAUUCUACUUAAUUUUCUUCUUUCUACUCCUACUAUCUUGUGAGUAUCCUAUUUUCAAGUUGGCCACAAUUUUUUCAUUUCCCUUUAACAUACAUUGAAAAUCAUGAUUUAUUUGUUCCAAUUCAAUUUUCUAUAUCAAACAACGCCCAAGAGACUAGAAUAAGAAUCUUAAACCAAAAUGACAACAAAAAAAACAAAAAAUUCAAGAGCAAAUUAAUGGAAACAAUGGCGUGGCCACACCAAAGGCUACGGUGGGCUGUAGCCCAGGAAGAGUUUGUGGCAUAUGUGUGUGCAUAUAUAUAUUAGUGCAUAUAUAUAUAUAUAUAUAUCGUAGUGCAUAAUCUAAUAUAAUAGACAACAAAAAAAAACUGCAAGAAGAAUUAUUUUUUAAUGAAAUUAGCCCGGCGAGUAUUUAGCACAACUAGAAAUAUAAAACUUAUCAUGGAAAAUGUGAUGCCAUUUUGUUCAAGAUUAUUCUGCUUUGAUUCAGCGGACUUUAUAUUAGUUUCAAUCGAUUUUUUUAAGAUUGCCUUUACAUCUACUUUCCUUGUUUUGAUUUGUGCUAGUUGUGUGAUUGUAAUUGAGAUGUCAAGUUUUUUAUCUUCUUCUUGUCAUUGCAUCUAAAUAUAUGUAAAUUUGAUGAUUCAUUGUAAUAUUUGCGGUUUGCAAAUGCAAAGAUGGUUGAGUUCAUGCCAAGUAAAUUUUAAGUAUACAAAUACGUUAAACUUAAAUUUUUGCAUGCAAUAUAUAUGUAGCAAAAAAUAAAAUAAAAAUCAUUUGAUUUUAGGAUAAUUUUUUUGGCUAGCCCACCCAUAAAAAUUUUUCUAGCUCCGCCAUUGAAUGGAAAUCAAUGUUUGUCAACUAAAUUAAAAAUAGUCAGGUCUUAAUGUGACAUGCAUGCAUUUUGGAUACUGCAUUCAAAAAAUUUAGGGAGUUUUAACAAAACACUCAUGUUACUGUUCACUUUUAACGAAAAAUCACAUUUAUACCUUUCCCUAUUACUAUUCACUAUACCUUUAAAAAUAGUUUUUAAAUUAAAAUUAAUUUUUUUUUUUACUUUUCGUUGGCUUUCCUAAAAAUUUAGGCCUCACAGUGUAUAGUGACAGUACAUUGCAGUGAAGUUGCCGUUUCUCAGCCAUGCCUCCCUCCUUCCAUCGAGAAAAUUUGAAGCUGAAGGAAAGUUAUUAAAUAUGUGAAAACAGCACUGUUUACGAUUUAACGGGACCUAGAGCUAUAGUGAUUGCCCUCUAUUUUCGGUGCCCUUUCAUACCUUCUUGUUUUGUGUGAUCACGAUUAAGCAACGUCAACAUUUUAUAUUAUUUUUUUAUAGAUAUAAUAAGAAAAAAAUAAAUAGUAAUAUAAAAUGUUGACGUGGUUUAACCGUGACCACACAAACAGAAUGGCACCAAAAGUGGAGGGCAAACAAUCCUUGUCCAUAGUGAUCUGCAUACGGUGGGCCACCUCAUUUGUUUAUUUUCCUAGAUUUUGGGCCUUGAGCAGAAGCACUAACUAAAAUAUCACUCCAAUUUAUCCCGCCCACCAAUUAUUGCUCAAUUAAUUAACAUCAAAUCUGCUAUUUCUUUGUGAAGUUAAAGACUGUUAUGCAUUAUCUAAAAUUUGGGCAAAGCAGUCUUAAAAAAAUUUGAUCUCUAUGUCAAUUAUGUGACAAUUACGUGAGAUAUCGUCCUAAUAUCACUUAAUCUUACUGCAUGAUUUUUAUAGUGUUCGAGUGAUUUGAAGGAUGAGAGUGGUGACCUCUAUUAGAUUUGAUUAAGUUUUUUCACUCGAUCUGUAUCUUCUCAGUUACAAGUCAAUAUUGUUGGGACCUGGAUUGUCUGCCUUACCCCAUUUCAUACUCUUCUAUUUAUAUGGUUACGGUUAAACCUCGUAAACAUUUUAUAUUCCUAUUGUUUUUUGUCUUAUUAUUUCUAUAAAAAAAUCAAUACAAAAUGUUGACGUUGCUUAAUCGUGACUACAUAAAUAAAAAAGGAAAACUAAUGAAAAGAGCUUGAAAACUUUGAGUUUUAAUGAUAAGGACAAAAUAAAGGGUAAAGUGAAUAGUAUCAGGAAUGACUUUUUAGUGUAAAAAUAUGGUUUUUCGUUAAAGUGAGCAGUACCGGGUGCUUUUCGUUAAAGUUCCCAAAUAAAAAAGGAUAGGAAAGGUAUGAGAUGAGGAAGGUAGACAAUCAAGGUACAUAUUGUUGAGGCAGGACAAUCUAAUCAACAUGCCUACUAGCAAUGUCUAGUAGUAACAAGCUGUCAAUCAUUUGGCCUAUUUGGAGGCUAACACAAUUUAGGGUUAAACGAUUAGAACAAAACUGGGUUCGCAACGAGUUUGGAUAGUUAAUUAACAAGGUUGGAGAAGGAUUUAACAGAAGAAUUCAAUCCCUAAUGAUGAUUAGCGACUGUAUCUUACUGUCAAGCAGGCUCGAAGUUCAAAAAUCGGUGCCUAGUUUCUUGUGUACAAAUCUCCGCAAAAUCAGCUUACACUUUGCAAACUUUUCAACGUUUUCUUUCUUGUCACCUUUAUAGCCAGCUUUUUGAAACCCUUCUCCAAUCUCUCUUUUUAUCGACCCAGCUCAUAAUUUUAUAAGAGCUCAAAAGGACGUAGCAGUAAGAUUGUAUACAGCCAAUCUGCAAGAGAUGGGUCGUAACGAUAAUUCUGGGAAUUUUCUACAAGUUGUGGCUAACAACUUUGAUGUUCUUGCUUUGUAUGUCCCCCUUAAUUAGCCCCAUCUCUAAAUUCUACAACUAUAUAAAUGUAUGAUUGUUCUUGUUCAAUUAAUCUGGUCCUUAACAUAUCUAAGUUGGAUUCUUUGUCUCUCAUUUGCAGGCCUCUAGUCACACUAGUUUAUCCCCUGUAAGUAUAGUAUCAUGAUUCUGUGCCUUUCUUCUUGAACGAACACUGCUAAUACGGUUUUUCUAGUAUGCUAUAUGGAGUAUUCUACAUACUGAAUAUAUAUUUUUUCCGUUAGAUCUUAGUUAAGAAUCAAUGAUAAACAAAACAUUUGUAUAUAUAGGAUACACCUGAGCGUAAUAGAAGUUUCGCUAGCAAUCACCUAUGGUUUCAUGAUAAUUGUUGUGUUUUUUUGCUAGAUAUGCUUCAAUUAGGGCAAUAGAAACCAAGUCUCGUACUGAUGAUCAACAAUGGCUUACCUAUUGGGUUCUGUAUUCUCUGAUGACAAUCUUCGAGCUCACAUUCGCCAAAAUCCUUGAAUGGUACUGUUUUUUCUUGUUAGAUUUCAGAUAGAAUGUUGUUCAUAACUAAUUCCGGUCUAAUUCUCAAUGUCUAAUGAAGUAUCUAGUUAGAAACUGGCAAACUAUAACCCUAAUUAUCCUGUAAUAUAUGUCCUCACUAUCGAUCAGCUUUCCGGUAUGGACUUAUGCCAAGUUGAUAUUCACAUGUUGGUUGGUGCUGCCACAAUUCAACGGCGCUGCAUAUGUAUAUCGUCGCUUCAUCAGACCCUACUAUAUGAACCCACAAGUUGCUCAUCAAAUGUGGUAUUUCCCAAGAACGAAGGGCGGUAGCCUCUUCAGCAAGCCGGAUGACGUUUUAACCGCUGCCGAAAAGUACAUGGAAGAGCACGGGACAGAAGCAUUUGAAAGGCUCAUAAGCAAGGUACAUUGAUAUGCCUAGCUAAUUUGUGUGUAUGUGAAAGUCCCACGUCGAAACUUGAGAAACUAAAAUACAGAUAAAAUACAACAUAUUGUAGAAACUGAAGAAGCUAAGAAACUAAAAUACAGAUAAAAUGCAAAUGUAUUGUAGAACCAUCAACAAAAGGCCAAAGAUUUUGGCCGAGAAGGAACGGUUUGACUUGGCUUUCCCAUAUCAGAUAGUUGGUGUCAAUGAGUUUCAAGGAAACAAGAUGAGAAAUGUUUGGAAUGGAAAGAGUAGGAAGCGUGCAGGAGGUUGCCAUGAGGGAGAGAAACACGGAGAAUGAGGAUCGGACGAGGCUUUAGAAAGUUGAUAACAUGUAGAAACUGAUUUUCUUAAAUAUUUACAAGACCAACAUACAAGAUAUAUAUACAAAUGGGUGGCUAAUAAUAUACGGUUACAGCUUAAAGGCGAUAAACAUAAACAUCAACAUAAAUAUAGAGCUACAACAUAAUUGACAGUUGGCUAUUAUUCUAGAAUUAAUGUCUAUAACUAUUGUAACGGUGUAACUAUUGUAACUCUCUAACACAUAUAAUAGUUCCACUACUAAUUGUAUUUAUAGCAGUCUUUCAUAUAUAUAAAACCUUAUUCAACUCACUGGUAAUAUGUGAAUGUGAUUAAGUUAGAAACAAUAUAAGUGUUAAUUGGUAGUGAUCAUCUUUCCAUGUUCAUGUUGCAAGUAUAUGAAGGAAUAUUAUUUCUGAUUUGCAGGCUGAUAGAGAAAGGAGCAACAGGAAGAGCAACAACUACAUGAUCUUUGAUGACGAUUAUAUGUACUAAUUAAAUCGCAGUUCCUGUCUUAAUUAAUUCUGUUAACAGUACUUAUGCCGAUCUUUUCCUAAACAACAUUUUGUAUGCUACGUCUCUUAAAUCAUGAAAUGGUGUGUGUGGAUUUGGUUUUUAGUAUUUUUGGCUGCAAGUGCAUUGUGCUGCUAAGCCAACACAUACAUCUAACAAUGCGAUACCAACUUAAAACCACAUAAACAAGAACGAAACUAAUAAUUUUCUUGAAUUAUUUAAUGAAUAUAUAUAUAUAUAUGCAUGGCAAGUUUCAUCACAGUUCUUAUCACGAAACGAAAAAACAUAUGUCCCUAAACCCUAAAUCCAAUAUAUAGUCAAUAACUGAGCCGAUACCUUCACAUCGGAUUCCAGCAAAAGUUGAAAAUGUUUUUGAAACGAAUAUUCUUUAAUAAAAAUCCAAGUGAUUUUGUAAUUUAAAAUUAAUUUAACCAAAAAUGCUUUUAGUAAUUUUAAAAGUACUUCAAAACAAGCUAUUUAUAUUGUUGAUUUUUUGUUUUUUAAAGCAUAUUUGGUGACAGCUCUUUCUUCUUGUUCUUUAUUUUGGGAUCGAAACAUUAUUGGGGGACAUCUUUUUCUUAUCAAAGCAUUAGGGGACAUAACUCUAUAAAGAAUCAAUUCAAUGGUGCUUUUUUAUCAUCUAAAAAGACCACCAAAGUGGCAAUCCAAAGCGAGCUUAUUCUUUAUACCUAGGCUAAAAAUUAAUUUUAUAAACAGGACUGGUUUUCUUUAAUACAUACAAUAUUUGUAUUUCUACUAAUUUAAUUUUCAGAUUCAUCUAAACAAUAUUGUACUUUAAAACCAAUCUUGAUUGAAAAGUAAUAUCAAAGCUUAUUUGUAUAAAAGAAACACAUUCGUUGUACUGAAUAUAACAACAGGCACAUCUACAUACAGAUAUUAUGAUACAAAACAUUUACUACACUAAAUUCAUCUAAAUUAUAUAUAAAAAAAAAUUCAAACUUUAAUACAAAGAAAAAACCACAUUAGUCUAAUUAAUUUGACUAAUCUGAAAUCUGUGUUAUUUAAUUUGGUCAAAAAAUAAGACAUGGUUUCUAUUUGGGUCAACAAAACAAGACAUGCUUUUUUCUUGGUCAACAAAAUACGACAAGCUUUUUUCUUGGUCAAGAAAUAAGACAGUGUUUAUUGGCGCAAAUAAGGACAAAAGCAAACCAUCCCGGUCCCGCGAGAUUUUCAGUUGGUGACGUGGCAUGAAGCAGGAGCGACAAAACCAACUGCUCAACUUCAAAAGAACGAAAGAAAGAAAGGAAAAGGAAAAGAAAAAGAAAAGAAUGAGAGAGGCGCGCACGUUAGCUAACAAACAACCACAAUCCCCGAAGCUCUGCUACAUUCCACAUUGACGACGACCUCUCCGACGACGACGACGACGACGACAACGACGACCUCUCCGACGUCGCAGAGCGCUCGCUUACUUCUCCUCCCAUUUUCCUGUAAAUUUUUCCAAUUUUUUUAACUUUCUUUUUUCUUUUUGGAAGUGAGCGACGUCCGAUUUUUGGCGAAUUUCUUCAUCUUUCUCGCAAUGUAGGUAAAAUCAGUCUUCGUUUGCCCUAAUCUGCGCUCUCUUUUGGUUUAGAAUGUGUGCUUUGGUGUCGAAAAAUACAAAAAUCUCAAGUUUUCCGAGGAAUUCGACCGCGUAUGUGAAUUUUAGGGUUUCUCUGAUUUCCAAGGAGCUGGUUUGAGCUGUUUCGGAGCAGAAAGUUGAUCGGUGGAGCCUCGUUUGGUUGAAAUUUAGGGUUUGGUUUUACGGAAUUGCAAAAUUCUGAGGAGGGGUUUGAGUUUCUUGAGCUGCAAGGUUAUGUUGUUGAGAGCCGAGGUUUAUUUGUGGGUGUAAUGGGUUAGGGGUGGAGCAAAAAAAUUUCCUUUUGUUGUUUUAAUGGGGAGGAGUUGGGAAUUGGGUUAUGGUAUUAGGUGGUGGUGGUGUUCAAAUGGGUAUUGGGUCUUGGACUUCUGGGCAAAACCUGAUAUUGCAACUUGAAUGGCUAGUCCUCAGAGAAGCGGUCCGGUCGAGAGGGAUAUCGACCAGGUUUGUUCUUUUUCAUCAGUUAUUUCCCAUGGAAUUAACACUCAGAGUGAGCCAUGACAAAUUUUUUUUGUUCAAAUGAUGUAUUGAGCUUAGUCAUUUCAGCUCAUGUUUCCAUUUUUCUUCUUUCCAUUCUGUUUGCAGGCCAUCACAGCACUUAAGAAAGGUGCAACUUUGUUAAAAUAUGGACGCAGAGGGAAGCCGAAAUUCUGCCCAUUCCGGCUUUCUAAUGUAAGUUGGCUCGACAUAUAGCCUUGUUUGGUUUCUGCUCUUUUGGCUCAGAUAAUUCUGGUUUCGUUUCAGGACGAGGCUCUUUUGAUAUGGUACUCUGGCAAAGAAGAAAAACACCUUAAACUUUGUCAUGUUUCGACAAUUAUUCCUGGCCAGCGUACUGUGAGUUUCAGCUCCCAUUCUGUUUUCGGAUAAAAUCUCCACCAAAGCUUGACUGUAAAAUCUCAAUUUUCUUGAACGCUUAUGCCUGCUCUCGAAAGAAGCUUACAUGGAAGAUUUGUUCUUUGGUGGCUUCACCAAUUACCUUCCAUAGAUAAUUAUAAACAUCACUGCGGUUUUUCUUUGCAGGCAAUAUUUCAGCGGUAUCCACGGCCUGAAAAGGAGUACCAGUCAUUUUCGCUUCUAUACAACGAUAGGUCCUUGGACUUGGUGAGUAAAUUUGCUACAUAUAUUCAAGGAUCAUUGAUGCAACUGCAUGUAUAAAGCACCUGAGAAAUUGUAUUUUCUGGUAUAUCAUGGUUUAAUCAGUUACCACCCCCUGCUGGACAGAUAUGUAAAGACAAAGAUGAAGCUGAAGUUUGGUUUGUUGGUCUUAAGGCGAUAAUCACUCGAGGUAAUUACCGGAACUGGAGAAGCGAAUCAAGAUUGGAGGGCACAUCAAUAGAUAGCCCCCAUGCUCGGACUCGGCGACAUUCUCCAACAGUGACACCAUUCUGCAUUGGGGUGAUUUAUCUGUUGUUAUUUCUUUUAUAAGGAAACAAAGAAUAUACUUCUCUUGAUGUAUCUGGCAUUUACGUUUUAUUUCUUGGUGUUUUUACCAAAUACGACAGGAUCCAAGAGAUACUGAGGGAGUUUCUUUGGAGAAUAUCCCACAGAGUAGAUUAGGACGAGCAUUCGCUGACAUAAUAUCUUAUACCGCCACCCCCAAGAAUGCCAUACAAGCUGAAUCAGUCUCAAAUGCAUCGUUAUCACCUGUAUCUGUGGAUAACUCCAAUGGUCGAAAUUCUGCAUCUGAAGCAUUUCGGGUUAGUUUAUCUAGUGCUGUAAGCUCGUCUAGUCAAGGUUCUUGUCAAGAUGAUUUUGAUACUUUAGGAGAUGUUUUUAUUUGGGGCGAAGGUAUUGGUGGUGGAGUACUUGGAGGCGGUGUGGAUAGAGUAGGGAGCUCAUAUGGUUCCAGGACGGAUGCUCUUCUGCCUAAGGUAUUAGAAUCAACAGUGGUCGUAGAUGUUCACGGAAUUGCUUGUGGUGCCAGACAUGCUGUUCUAGUCACCAAGCAAGGGGAAAUCUUCAGCUGGGGAGAGGAGUCAGGAGGCAGGCUUGGUCACGGUGUUGAUACAGAUGUUUCCCACCCAAAGCUCAUUGAGACUCUUAGUGGGAUGAAUGUGGAAUUAGUGGCAUGUGGGGAAUAUCACACUUGUGCUGUUACACUUUCUGGAGAUCUCUAUACAUGGGGUGAUGGUACUCAUCAUUUUGGCCUGCUUGGGCAUGGAAGUGAAGUUAGUCACUGGAUUCCCAAAAAGGUAUGUGGUCACUUGGAAGGUAUCCACAUAUCCUAUAUCGCUUGUGGACCGUGGCAUACAGCUGCUGUGACAUCAGGUGGCCAGUUAUUUACCUUUGGGGAUGGAACUUUUGGUGCCUUAGGACAUGGGGAUCAUAGUAGCACAAGCACGCCGCGGGAGGUGGAGACUUUGAGAGGGCUAAGAACAACAAGGAUUGCUUGUGGUAUUUGGCACACUGCUGCAGUUGUUGAAGUAGUGAAUGAAUCGUCUAGCCCCGAGACUUCUAGUAACUCUUCAUAUGGGAAGCUCUACACUUGGGGUGAUGGUGAUAAAGGCCGACUUGGACAUGGUGAUGAACAAUCUAAGCUAGUUCCUGCACGCGUAGCUGCAUUGGUUGAUAAAAAUAUUUGUCAAGUAGCCUGUGGCCAUAAUCUCACAGUUGGCCUUACAACCUCAGGACAAGUAUAUACGAUGGGAAGUGCUGCUUAUGGACAGCUUGGGAAUCCUUCAGCUGACGGGAAAGUUCCCACUCUGGUCGAGGGUGAAAUUAGUUUUGUGGAAGAAAUUGCAUGCGGUUCUUAUCAUGUUGCAGUUUUGACUUCCAAGACUGAGGUUUAUACUUGGGGAAGGGGUUCGAAUGGGCAACUAGGCCACGGAGACAAUGAUCAUAGAUAUACGCCUACCCCUGUUGAUUGUAUGAAGGAUAAGCAAGUAAAGAGUGUAGCAUGUGGUCCAAACCUAACGGCGGCCAUUUGUCUUCAUAAAUGGGUAUCAAGUGCUGACCAUUCUGUUUGCUCUGAUUGUCACAAUCCCUUUGGUUUCAGAAGAAAACGUCACAAUUGUUACAACUGUGGGCUAGUCUUCUGCAAAGCAUGCAGCAGCAAGAAAUCUCUGAAAGCUGCCUUGGCUCCAAAUACGAACAAGCCAUAUCGGGUGUGCGACGAGUGUUAUAGUAAACUGAAGAAGGCUGCAGAAGCCAGUUCUGCUUUGCGAAGUCCAAUAAGAAGUGGAAAUAUGCGUCCUAAAUCCCAUGAGGUGACAGAUAAAGAAAAUCUGAUCCCUAUGUUACGGGCAACGCUCUCCAGACUCUCUUCUUUUGGCACAAACAACCAGGGCGAAAGCAAGCAGCUUAAGCAAGAAAGAAAACCAGAAGUGCGUGAUAAUCGUGUCUUCCCAGAUUUGAAUGGACAGUUGCAGUUAGGGGGUUUUAAUUUGACAAGAGCAUCAACUCCUCCCACUGCAGGUUCAGAAAAAGUUGUUUCGCCUUCUAUUCCUGCCUCUAAAAAGGCUUCUCGGUAUACAUCUCCUGUUUCAGGAAAGUCAAGUCCACGCCGGUCUUCUGAAGAAAUCAUUCUUGAGGAUUCAAAGCAUAUAAAUGGAAGUUUGAGCCAAGAAAUCAUACAAUUAAGGACACAGGUAGGCCUUUUUAUAGUGCUUUAAUGUCUACAAUCUAAUAGUUGAUGACAUCCGUGCAUAUAACUAAAUCUUUUGGUGGGUUCUGGGAUCCAAAUCUUUGACAUUCUGUAGCUGCUGAAGAGAGAGGAACUAGCCUAGCUUAUGAACUGAGGAAUUGGAUUAAAAUUUGCAUCCUUACGAAAAUUAGUUAAAGUAAUGUGUAUACAUUACGCUGAAAUUGUUCCAAAAACUAUGUAGGUAGAAGGCCUUACUCUCAAAUCCCAGCAUCUUGAAGCUGAACUUCAACGCACAUCAAAGAAAUUGAAGGAGGUCUCUGCAAUAGCCGCAGAUGAAGCUGAAAAACGCAAAUCUGCAAAAGAAGUUAUUAAAUCUCUAACUGCUCAGGUUGCAACCGUUCUGUGUUCGAUGUUCUGUUUUUUCUUAUGCUUUCUGAUUCUUUGGCGUUGCAACUUAUCCUAUCCUCCGUAAUUUUCUAGUGUUACACUGAUUUUACUUGUCGAACAGUUGAAGGAGAUGUCUGAAAGAAUGCCUGAAGGGCAGAUGAGUCACUGCAAUACAGGUUCUAUUUCGCAUGCAAUCAGCUUUGGAAACCAGUUAUCCAAAGAGCCCUCUCUGUCAAACAUAAAUACUUCGCAAACUUUGUCCAAUGGCAAUUCAAUGGAUCGAAUCCUAACUAAUGGGACUAAAUCACCAACUGGAAAGUCCGAGCGGGUGCUACAAGAUGAACCUGGUGUAUAUAUAACUCUAAGCUCCUUGCCAGACGGCAGUAAUGAACUCAGGCGUGUUCGCUUCAGGUACCUCUCUCCUCCUCCCCCUUUAUUUUCAGAGUCAGAUAAAUACAACCAAGUAAAUAUCUAAGGCCAUGGCUUAGGCUGCAGAAGAUUCACUCUGUUUCUUUUUCGGCCUGCCACGUUGUGCCGUCAUUGCAUUUGAAUCCAUUACCUUGAGGAAUCUCCAUCAGCUUUCUCACAUUAUCCUACCAUUUCUGAAUCAUUCAUAUCUAUGUUAGUUUUCCAUAGUCUAGAUUUUUCGAACGAAACUAUUACAAUCGACUUUAUAAUAUCACGGUGCGGAUUGAUGAAAUGUAUUUGAUGCCCUCUAUCUUGUUUGCUGAAAUUUAAAUUGUUGUUCGACAGCCGGAGACAUUUCACUGAAGAAGCAGCGGAGAGAUGGUGGGCUGAAAAUGGGGUAAAGUUAUGUGAGCGGCACAACAUAAAAGGUGCAGAGUAAUAUGCUGUCAGCUCUCCUGUGCAAACCUCAUAUGCGUACAACCAAUGAUCCUCUUCCCCACCAGAACGUGUAAAUUAUUGAACCCGUAAAUCAUUCCGCCGAGAUAGGGCGAAGGAUAUGGAGUCGGAAUUAGUAGGUAGACUGAUAUAUUAGGAUGUCAAAAUUGAAAAGAUGAGAAAGACAUUUGAGAAUUCUAGAUAUUCUGCGGUUAAUGCUGUUUUUUUUCCCUUAAAUUUGUGCCAAAAUACUAGUUUUGUACAAAUAUCAAUCUCUAACCUUAUCUUUUGUACAUCAAGUUGAACACAGUUCUUCAACCUUAACUAUCCAUCUCAAUUGAGCUCAGUCCAGCUUCCUUUAUCAGGUUGUCUUCUAUUCGAACUGGCCGAAAUUUCACUUCUCCCGCCAUAUUUUCAUCUUCUAUUUCCUGCCUUCUUGUUAUAUGAUCCGGCAACCUUCCGGCAAUCGCGUAAGUACCUGAUAAUAGCAUUGAAUUGGUCGGAUGAUCAUCAUUAAGUUCCAGUAGCACUUUCUGUACAGAUUCCCCGAGAGCAACAUACCCAUAAACCCUGCAAGCCGAAAGCAGUGCACGCCAUGCUGUAACAUCAGUCUUAACGGGCAAGCUUUCAAUUAGUUUAUGUGCUUCCUCCAACAACCCGGCACGACCCAAAAGAUCGACCAUACAACCAUAGUGUUCCACCUUCGGCACAAAGCCAUACUUGCAAACCAUCAUCUCGAAACACCUAACUCCCUCUGCCACCAGCCCUCCAUGGCUGCAAGCACUUAAAACUGCUAAGAAAGUGACCUCAUUAGGUUGACAGCCCUCUUCUUCCAUCCUAUCGAAUAGCCUUAUGGCAUUACCCGCCUGCCCAUGAACACCAUAACCUGAAAUCAUGGCAGUCCAUGAUUUCACAUCUUUGCUUUCCAUGCUCUCAAAGAUGUCAAGUGCCUUGUCCAAAAACCCACAUUUAGCAUACAUAUCAACCAGAGCUGUUCCGAGAACCGCAUCCAAUACCAAGUUCUCGUCUUCCACAUAAUCCUUAAUGCAACUCCCUACACUUACAGACCCAGAAGCAGCACAAACUGAAAGCAACCCGGCCAAUGUAGAUGAAUUCGGUUUCAUUCCUUCGAGUUUCAUCAGCCUUAACAAGGCUACUGCUUCUUCUACCAUGCCACAUCUUGCAUGCUUAUCAACCAAACAAUUCCAUAACACGACAUCCUUCACAGAAACUCCAUUGAAAAUCCGACGUCCUAAAUCGAUUUCCCCUUUCUUCGCGUACGCAUCAAUCAAAGCAGUAAGAACAUGUAAAUCCGAACAGAAUCCAAUCUUGAUGCAAUAGCCAUGAAUACACUCUUCUCCAAGGUGACUCUCUAAACCACCAAUGGCAGACAAAAGGUUCAAAACGGUGGUCACAGUAGCUUCAAAACCGAUUCUACACAUUUGCUUGAACAAAUCCACAACCACAUGAGGCUUAGACGCAUGAAGAUACCCGCCCAUCAAAGUAUUCAACGAAACCAAAUCAUUUCUUUGAGGAAAUUCAUCAAACACCUUCCGGGCAUCUUCAAUCUUCCCAGAACUACAAUAAAACUGCAAAAGGGUAUUCUUUACAUUGACAAACGGUCCAAACCCAGACCUCACAACAACCCCAUGAAUCCCUCGGCCGGUCCCAAUGGCCGAUUCACGAGCGCAGGCUUUGAUCGUCGCGACGAAAGAGAACUGGUCCAGCGUGAUAUUCUGAGCUCUCAGGUUAUUGAAGAUAUGAAAAGCAUGCUUUGGAUCAUCGCUGAUGGAGUAGGCUCUGAGCAUGGUAUUAAACAUGAAGAGAUUUGGGUUUUGUAUUCGGUUGAAAAUGGCGGCGGCGUAUUGGAUGUCUUGGAUGGAAGAGGCGAGAAGCUUGCUGGAGGGAAAAGGAAGGUGGUCGAGACCAGUCUUGACCAUGGACCCAUGGAUCUGUGAGAUUUCUGAGACUGUUUUGCAGGAUGGUAAAAGAGAAAUGAGGCUGAGAUCUUGGAAGAAGACGGAGUUGUGUGUGGGCGAAAGUGUGAGUCUUUGCCCCAGACGUGACGACUUGGCUAUCAAUGUCAUCAGCCAUGCGGCGCUGGCACGGCGGCGGCAGCGUUUGAAUUGUUUGGAGCUCACGCCAAAAAUUCAGGCAUUCAAAUACCAAAGCUCCGAAGCCAUGUAUAGUAGUGUCAGUUUUUGCAUUCCAUUCAAUAAAGUUCAAAAAGUUCAUGCAACUGGAAUACCAAGUAAUAGUUACUAGUAACUACCACUCUCGUUUUGUUUUAAUUUGCUCAUAUGUCGUCUAGUUUGGGAUAUUGUCAUCUUGGUAUCCUGACCGGUCUUGAACUCCACAAAUUACACAACUUCCAUGCUAGUAAGUUUCUCUCGGUUGUUAUGGUAGUCAAUUAAUUUUAGACUUUUGUUCGUGAAAAUGUAAGCAAUAGGAUCUUGUCAUCGCGACUAUCAGGUUCUUUUUUUUUUAUUGUAUCUUGUUAUGGUGAGAACUUACAUGCAGCUGAAAUAUCAUAAGUAAUAGUAUCUAGUAACUACCACUCUCUUUUUGUUUUAACUUGCUCAUAUGUCGUAUAGUUUGGGAUAUUGUCAUCUUGGUAUCCUGACCGGUCUUGAACUCCACAAAUUACACAACUUCCAUGCUAGUAAGUUUCUCUCGGUUGUUAUGGUAGUCAAUUAAUUUUAGACUUUCGUCCGUGAAAAUGUAAGCAAUAGGAUCUUGUCAUCGCGACUAUCAGGUUCUUUUUUUUUUAUUGUAUCUUGUUAUGGUGAGAACUUACAUGCAAUUGAAAUACCAUAAGUAACAGUAUCUAGUAACCACCACUCUCUUUUUAUUUUAACUUGCUCAUAUGUGUCUAGUUUGGGAUAUUGUCAUCUUGGUGUCCUGACCGGUCUUGAACUCCACAAAUUACACAACUUACAUGCAUGUAAGUUUCUCUCGGUUGUUAUGGUAGUCAAUUAAUUUUAGACUUUCGUCCGUGAAAAUGUAAGCAAUAGGAUCUUGUCAUCGCGACUAUCAGGUUCUUUUUUUUUUAUUGUAUCUUGUUAUGGUGAGAACUUACAUGCAGCUGAAAUAUCAUAAGUAAUAGUAUCUAGUAACUACCACUCUCUUUUUGUUUUAACUUGCUCAUAUGUCGUAUAGUUUGGGAUAUUGUCAUCUUGGUAUCCUGACCGGUCUUGCACUCCACAAAUUACACAACUUCCAUGCUUGUAAGUUUCUCUCAGUUGUUAUGGUCCGCGAAAAUGUAGGCAAUAGGAUCUUGCAUGUUUCUAGGGUAGUGCUAUCCGCACUCAUAUUUACUUCUCACACAUCCCUCUCAAUUUUCGGUUUUCGAAUCGAAUAAUCGAAGAAGAUAAAUGAUCUAAAGCCACUUCUCUUCCAUACAAGUGAUGUGAAAAUGACCUAUAGACGGGUAAACCGUGUGGAGAUGGAGGCGGAAGAGUAAGCGGCUGUCUGCAAAACCAUAUUCAAGGUUCAUACUAUGAUACUCCCAACUGAAAAACGCCAUUAGGAAGUUGUAACUGCAACUUUGAAGGAUAUACAUAUAUUCACUUGCGCUAAUUGCACUUUCAGUUGCCUAAAGGAUGGUACCGUCAUACAUUGAGAAAACCCGAUAUCACAACUUGCAAUAAGUGAUGCGGUAACUAUAAAUACAUUCUUCGGAGCUGAUAUCUACCGUCGGCAGAAACGGAAUAUAUGAAAGUAGCCCGAUACCAAACUACCUUUCCUUAUAUGGGGAAAGACUGCCGCUGCUCAUCGGAGUCUUCUCCUCCUUGAAGGGUUGGGUUGAUGCAUCGGAUAGACUUGGUAGCCUUGAAACAGAACCCUUCCCUUUCCUCGCAUUCGGCCCUAACUCCUCUAUCAUGUAUUUCCACCCAUCAAUUGGUCUCCUCCGGCUAAAUAUGUGAGUCUUGAUAAAGCUAGCAAUCUGCAUGCCAAUGUCAUACAACCAGCGGUAAGCAUCGAGACAGCAGAAAGAAAUUGUUAGCAGGAUCGUCAUGCGUGUAAUAAAACGAAUGAAUUCAGAAUUUUGUGUAGAAAGGCUUUGCAAAGUCUGGUUCACCAGAGCAAUGUGAAACUUCUGCGAUUGAGUUAUUAAUCCGAUGGCUCUUCCAAUUACUCAUUUCAACAAGAAAGGAACCAUACUAAAACUACAAACCUGUACGAGCUGAACUUUUCUAGCAUAUGAAAUAGGUUCACACAAACAAUGUAAAGUUCAGGGCUAAUCCAACAAGUUGUACCGUUCUAUAUUAUUAGUGUGAGUGAAUAUACACACCUGAAAUUUAUUGUAUGCAAUCCGACGCUCAAACUCUUGAAGAAGAAUGUCUUCUUCUCUCUGCGUCAUCUCCCAUAUAUUUCCCUCCUGAGCCUUAGAUGUAGUUUCCCAACCAUCAGGUUUGUUUUUGUAGUCAGAAGCACUCGGUGCAUUAGAGUUCCCCAAAUCGUUGUUAGGGGAGUCAAAAAUGCUGCACGUAUUAAAAAGGUAAACCAAAAAUGUAAAUUCGCAAGCAACCUCAAGAAACUUUGCUACUACUACGCUGAAACAAACAGAAAGUAAAGAUUGAAGAUUUAAUCCAGUAACUUCCGUGCAAAACCGAAGACUUUAAUGCAAAACAAUCAAUUGGACUCCAAGCUCUUAAAACAUGCCGAGGUCAUAACUUUACAUGUGCAAGUGCAACAUCUGAACUCGGAUACAUAACCCACAUCAAAUUGAUAGCAGAACAUUCACAUUCCAUAGUUCAUACCAACUGAUGAAGCAGAACAAAACCCACCAUACGUAUCUAGAAAGCACUUCUACUAAUAGCAGUUUUAUUGGAAGCGCUUUUAUCAUAAUCACGUCGAAAUUUCAAAUAAAAAGCCCAGAGCUUCAAUCAAAAGGACUUGAAAUGCUUCCCCUUCAGUUCAAGGUGAUUUUCUAUCCCAGAAGCAUUUUUACUUUUUCAGCCAAACUUGUCAAUUAACGCUUUUUUAUAAAAGCACUUAAAAACACAAACACAUUACAAAUGAGUACAGAAACAGAUACAUUCAUGUACAUGCAAAGGUAAACAGAGAGAAAGAUUAACAUACUCAGAGCAACUAUCGAGCAAUCGCUCGAUGUCGUCGCCACCGCCAAUCGAAUUCGAGUCGGCCAAUUUAGCCUCCUCCUGCUUUUCAAUCUCCUUCAUCCAAAGCCCAGCGUGAAUCCUCUGUUUCUUCACCCGAUAGUCCUUCUUCAAGCUCUCCAGGCUAUAAAGCGACGACCCACUCUCGCUCUGCUGAUUCUGCUUCCUUUCCUCUUUGGGUUUCCGCCUCUCGUUCCAAUUCUCGUUCAUGUCCUCCACGAACGCCUUCGUGUCGUGGUCGGCGUCCGACGGAAGCACGAUGCUCGACCCGGGAGACGAGAAAUUGACGUCGGUCUCCCAUGGAGCUCUGCUGUUAUUUCCCGAGAGGUCGGGUGGGAGCCACGCCGUCUCCCAUGCGUCGUUCCAGUCGUCGUCGCCGCCCGCUUUCUUUGAGUUGGAGGAGAAGGUUCGGACAUUGGCGGCUGAAAUGAAUUGGGUUUUAGCGAUUGUGGACGAAAGUCGGUGGAGCUCGGUCUUUCUUGCUAUGCGUUUAAGGGCUUGCAUGGUUUGUGGAAUCGGUGAAGAGAAUCGGAGAGAAUCGCAGAAAUGGAAGCAUAAACCCUUUGUUCUUAGAGAGACGGGGACGCAGAGAGGAGGAAGACAACAUACGGGCCAAACCAAAAGCCCAAGUAUUUCAAUGGCUUUGAGAUAUUGGGCCUAACCUAAAGCCCAAGUAUUUCAACGGCCUUAAAAUAAUAUAACGGGCCGUACGUUCGAUAUUGGGCCAUAGAGAAAGAAAUAAAACUUUGUGAUUAAUUUUUUUUCUUUUUUCUUUGUUCUUUUUACAUUGGAGGAAAUCGAACCCCGACUUAUCCCAAUCCUAACCUUUUCCCCACUUUUUGUCACUAGUUAUGCAAACCUCAAAAGCUUAAUUCCCUUGUUUUUAGGUUGACAGGAACAUGUAAGUGUAGCGGUUUUCUCACUCUAAUUUAAAAUCAGAGAAUCCUAUUGUGGAAUGGGCGUGGCAACAAGUUUUGUUUAGGUUUUAUCUAAUUAGAUGUGUCACGCGAGUAUGCUAUUGGUUGACUAAUUUAAUCGUAAUUUCUUCAUGUUAAUUGUGUACUUGUAAGGUCCUAUAUUCGUGCGAGUUUUAAUUCAUGUAACGUACCGUGUCUGAAAUUGUCGUCCUUAAUAAUAAACGUAAAAAAAUGAUAAAGUAUUCAAUUUGCGAGAUCAAAAUUUAACAGGAAGUGUCAAAAUGUUUUUUUUUUUUUAAUACAACGAUAUAUUUUACACUAAAGGAAGAGGGAAGUUUGGCUAAGCCAUACAAUAGGUAACCUAAUUUAGUAUCAAAUUCGCUAUCUACGAUAUUCGAACUUAAGAUCUCUCACUUACAAUUGAAUAGAAAUAUUAACAGACCGUAGUAUUUAUUAGCUAUUAUUAUUAUUGUUUUUUUUUUAUUGUUCACUCAUUUAAAUAAGUAAUGGUGUUGGGGCCCCCUACCCCAUAAACCGUAAACCUUACGCAAAUGGAUAGGCCACGCCACAGCAUACAAGCCCAGCUGAGCUCCGAGUUUUGUUUGUUAUCUUGGUUAUGAUGAAUACUGUUAAAGCAUGUUUAGACAAGCAUACCGAUGGUACAACGCAUUCAAGGGUCUUAUCUCAUAUCUAUAAUUUUUAAAAUGAACUUGUUAUUCCUACCUUAAUGUAAAAUAAAAUAAAAUAAAAACACGAGCUCGUUUGGAAGUGCUUCUAAAAUGAUUGGAAGUAUUUUUAGAGAAAAUAUUUUUAGGUUCUAAAAGCACUUUAAGUGUUUUUCUAGGAUUUACUUGUUUUUUUACUAAGAAUUGGUUUCAAAAAUAUUUUCACCAAAAACGUUUUUAGUUAUUUUAAAAGUACUUUCAAACGAAUUCUACUUAUAUGAUUCAAUAAUUCAUCUAGUACAUUGAUAAAUAAAUUGUGCGUUAUGCGCUUGUUUUGUGAUCAGGAUUAGAUUGAUAUAUUCACAAUUUCAAAGCAUGUUAAAUAAAGAAAUGAAUAAUUUCGUCUAAUUUAAAGGUAGAAGAUGAAUGGUACAUAAAUAAACUUAUCUAUUUCAAUUCAAACAUAACUAUUAAGGGGUGUCUCAGUGGUUAAAGAUGAAUUCUAAGUCUAUAUUCCACACGGCACAUUCUGGGUUCAAUUCCAAGCAUUGGCGAGUCGCACAAUGGGGGUCAGGGGAAGGCUGAAAUGCCAUUGUGAGUCUUCCUGACCCCCGGAAUGGUGGAUUGUCUUGACAAAACUACCAAUUGGUCCCCCUUGUAACGAAAAAUAUUCCAACAUAAUAAUAGGCUUAGAAAGAUAAGUUUCGUUCAUGUCUAAUUUCUUCUAAUCUCCUCAAAAUGAAAAUUUAUUCCUCUUAUCUUCAACAUAUCUUGAGUUCUAUGAGUAAUUCACCGCAAUUUAAUUCUAGUCCACAAACGAAUGUUAUGAUUUUUUAAAGUACAAAUAACGUGAUUCAUAAUUAAUAGUGUUCGAUGAUUAGUUAGUUCAUGGAUGUAACUAUCGAGAAAUUUUUAGUUUUGACGGAAAUACAAGUAGUACAUCAUGUGUUUUAAUAAGAGUGGUGGGAAAUUUUAUCUUUUAAGUUACUAGCUUUUUAGCACACAUAUCUCACCAUUUGUAUAAUAACACGUGAUGUAUCAUCCCGUGUACCGAUCACACUGAAAAAUCUCUGUAACUGUCAAUCUAGACGGACUUUGCCUUCCUCCACCAAUCGAAGCAAUAUGUGGAAACAUCUCGCCCAUAAAAUACGCAUCUGUAUAGUCGCGAAGAAAUUGUGGUUAAGUAUCAAUACGCAUUCCUUUCAAGUUCCAGAUAUUUAAAAAAGUGGGAAUUAAUUGCAGAGAAGUAGACAGGAGAGAGCCAAUCGCCAUCAAACCGCAGGUUGGAAAGAAGCUACUAACUGCUGGGUUGCUUGUAUUGCAAGAAAUUGGAAACUGGUGGGGUUGGGAGAAUCUGAUUUUGGAAUUACCUGUGUCUGAGGAAGCUUCUCGCGCCUCAAAUAAUUUUUCAAUAUAUUCCGAACAAAUCAUCUGACGAUGUUAUUUUACUCAAACAAAAUCUUAGAUAUUUGUUUUUCAUAAUACGCGAAAUGAUACACCGCAUGAUUAAUGUUCUUGAUGUUUAUAAAGAUUUUCUCCCAACAGCAUAGAGAAUGAAUUUUAUAAAAUAAGUAUAAAUAAUACAAACAUAUAUGCUAAUUUCUCUUCAUAUGUCACUAUAUAAUUAGCACAAAAUGUCAUCAUAACCGUUUGCAUUUGGUUAACCAUACAAAUUGCUUUCCAUACCAUUUCAAUGGGUAUCAAUUACCCACUUUCUCUUGAGUUGUGUGUUUAAUUAACAAAGUCGUAUUCUCUCCACUUGAAAUUUUGUGGAGAUUUAAAAUUUGGAAUCUUCCCCUAAGGCAACCACUUUCGUUGUUGAGCUUCUUCCCUUUUGCUUAUUAAUUGUUGGACAAUUGCGAUGAUGGCACGCUUCAACCAUAGUCUCCAUCCUUAUUAUACAGUACACACGAUAGUUCAUACAACUUUUUCAAGACUAAAAUGAGGCCUAAAAUUGUAGACUAGGGGUUUUUUGCAAUAAAAAUUUAGAAAAUUGUUUUGAGGCUUGUUUGAAAAGUGCUUUUAAAUAACUGAAAACGUUUUUAGAGAAAAUGGGAAGAGAUUCUUUUAUGUGUGAAAUGAUAAAUCUUUUCACACAUUAAGAGUAUUGAUUAUUGAUUAUUGAGUUUGAUGUGCCAAUGAAAUUCACGUGUUAACAUCUAAAUGUAAAAAAAACAAGUGAAAAAAAUAAAUGGGAAGAAAUUUUUCAAUGUGCCCAGCGACUAGUAUUCUUCUUCUUUAAAUUUGAAGUGAAAACGACACGAUCCUUGCAAUUGUCUUCUAGUCUACUUGACCGCCCAUGUUUUUCACACUUAGCCAAAUUGAAGUGUAUUUGAUUUGAAUAAAUCGUCUGAAUGAAAAUGAAACCAAAUCGCCUUCCUUCUUCUUCUUGUUAUACAACAACCUUAAUUUACAUAAUAAUGUAUUGGUAUAUCUAAGUUAUCCUCCACAUUGAAAGAACAAGAAUGCUAAUGCAUUGGUAACUUAGAUAUACCCACUAUUCUAAAAAUUCUCACCUACGCGCUAAGCGGGCGGGCGUCGCCCCAAUUAAUGUCUAGGCAUUUGAAAAUUAAGAAAUUGCGCAUAAACCUGCUGAGAUCCCGCCUAACCCGCCCAGACCCGCCGAGGCAGAUGCCUAGGUCAUGGCUCACUUAAUCAUAAUAUAAAUAAUUUUCAUUUUGUAUUUUAUUUUUUUUAUAAAUUGUAAGAGACUUGUUGCAUACUUAAAUGAACACCCAUUAUAUUAUUGUUCCCCAUGUUUUCAUUAUGUUCCAAUAUUUCGCAAUAUACAUGUCAUUCUAUUUUGUAGUUUAUAAUGAAAAUAUAUAAAUUUUAAGUAUAAGCAGACACUUAUUUACACGAAAUAUAAUAAGUUUACUUAAAUCCGCUUAGUCCGCCUAGGUGCCCGCCUAAGCUCCGCCUAACCGCCAAGGUGUUAAGCCUCAGCCCGCUGCCUGAUUAGCGCCUAACGUCUUUUAAAACCUUGGAUAUACCAAUGCAUAAUCAAAUGGUCAAAAAAUAACGAAAAAAAAAGUAAAGAAAUAUGUGGACUUAGCAUUAAACUAAAAUAAUAGAAAAGUUUGACAUUGUUUUAAAAUUUGACAGCAAAGAGAAGAAAGUUAAUUUAUGUAGAAUUUUGACAUCUCCAUUGAAACAAAAAAAAACAUAUUUUUGUCAAAACAAUUCACAUAGGAAUUUUACUUCUCUUUUGUAAAUGCUCUAAUAAACUGAAAAUACAUGAAAGAAAUAAGGGCUGUAAGAAAUGAAGGCCCCUAAUUAAAACUAUAAUUUAAAAUCAAAACUUAGAAAUCGUUGAAUAACUAUUUUAAAUUUAGUGUUUAUGUCUAUUUAUUUAAAAACAAAAUGGGGAUAAAACGACAACUUAAUAAAAUCAUUGGUUAAUCAAACUAAUGUAAACCAACCAGGCAUUGAAGGUCACAGCUAAAAUCCGAACCACGGAAGUUACUACUUACUAGGACCAGAGUCGUUUACGUAAAUGCUGAUAUCGAUAUUUCGAACCCAGUUAUUAUUUUCGUGGUCCCCAUGUCAAGCAGAUAUAGAAUCGAUGGCACCACGAUGUAAUUUGUCCUUGUCGCCCCAAAUGUGUCCAUCCAUGGUCCCCAUGCAUGAUGCAUACCACUCCAUCCCACAAUAUCUUCCCUCCCAUCGUAUCACAUCAUCCCGCCCAUCCCCAUGACAUGGUACAUGUCUCGUAUAAGUUCACAUAUGCAUGCCCAUCGAUGGCUUAUAACCUUGUUAACGUAGAUGAUGUUCACUAUUCCAUUUAUCAUGAUUUAUGAUGAGUUUAACAAAUAAAAUUUUCGUGCAGUGAUAAUUGAUAAACACAAAUUUCGACCCUUAAUCUCAUUUAACUGUAAUGAUUUAGGGACUUUUUAGUCAAAAUGGUUCAUAAUAUUUGUAUAACACAUCACUUUAGUACCUGAGAUUGUCCAUCAUCCAUUAUUUUGGUCAUUCCGUUAAAAACUCCGUUAAGUGUCUCAAAGCUCUUGACCGAAAGUUUGGGCAAUUUUCAAAGUUUCGUAACUCAAUCGUUUCUUAAUCAAAUUUAAUCCAUAAUAUAUCAAAAUGAAGAUAGGAAAGUGUAGCACAAGAUUAUACUUAUUUGGAAGUCUAAUGGUGGCCGGAGAUGGCUGGAAGAUAGCCUAAAAGGUGACUAGUCUGCAGGAAAACUGAAAAACUCACCGGAAACUGGGUAGAUUUAAACGUUCAUAACUUUUUCAAUACUCAACGAGAUCGAGUGAUUCAAAAACGAGAAUCUCGUCGAAAAGUAUCAUUUUCGUUUUUGAAUCACUCGAUUUCCUUGAGUAUUGAAGAAGUUAUGAGCAUUUAAAGUUCAUCCAGUUUCCAGUGAGUUUUUCAAUUUUUCCGCAUACCAGUCACUUUUCAAGAUAUUUUCCGGCCAUCUUCGACAAACACUGGGCUUCCAAAUAGGUAUAAUCUUAUUCUACACUUUCCUAUCUUCAUUUUGAUAUAUUAUAUGUCGAAUUUGGUUAAGAAACAAUUGAGUUACAAAACUUUGAAAAUUGACCAAACUUUCGAUCAAGAGCUUCGGAACACUUAACGAAAUUUUUAACGGAAUGAUCAAAAUAAUGAAUGGUGAACAAUCUCAUGACCCAUUUAUAUUCAUUUUCAAUUUCAUAAACUAAAAUAAUGUAUUAUGUAACUCUCAUGGAGCAUUACCAAUUGAAAAUAGUGGGACAAAUGCGCUCCUCUACGGUCCCGCUAGGUCCAUCAAUAUUAUUUGUCGCCACAUGAUUUGGUUUUACCUCCUCAUACGGCCCCACAGCUUUGGUUUGCGUACGACUCGUCGGCACUCUCAUCGUCUUUCAAUUUCUAUUAUCUUUGUAUUUUUUACGGAACGGUGCGUCGUCGCACUCUCUAAGUAAUCAAAAGUAGAAAGUGGAUAUAAUUUUUUUUUUUUUUUGGUGAACGAGAUAAUAUAAUUUGAUGUGCAGUGAAGUGAGAGAACAAGCGAAUCCAAAUGGAACCAAUAUUUUAACCAUGAGCUAGUGGUCCUGGUAAAUGACGGAUUACGAACUUUCUUUAAAAUUAAAAACUAAAGGUUUUAGGUUUGAAAUCUACUGUUGAUGUGAAAGCUAUAAACUUAUAGCCAAGGAAAAAUUGAAACAUCCUUGUGAAUCUUUUAGACCUUCAAAAAGAAUGAAUAACCGUGGUUUAAUACUAAUGGUUCGCUUUUAUUUAAAAAAGAAAAAGGAACCAAUAUUUUUACUAUUAAGUCGCAACGUUCAAUUUAACUUUGGUCGGUUACGUACAAAUGUACCCUGUGCAUCCUACAAAAAUCUUUUGAAGUGCGCAGUGCGCAGAGCAUGGCUCACGUUAGCAGCUCCCGAGAACACACAGCGUUUUAACUUUUCCCACUGUGGACCUACUUUAUUAAUAAGCUAAGGGUGAAAAAUUAAGGAAAUUUGUGUUCCUCAAAGGUCAAAUUUACCCAUUCAGCUUGGUUUAGUCCUACUGUGUGAAAGUUUAAAAUGCAAGGACAAAAUGGGUACUUCAACAAACGAACACAAUAACAAAUACAGGUGUUAAAAUAAUUUCUUGAAAUUUUGAUUUCAUUUUCCUUCUACAAGUUAAAUCUCCUAAUAAGUGGCAGAGGACGGUUUGAUAUUUUUACACAAGAAGAGGGACCAAAAUGAAAAUUAAAAAUUCUCUCCAUUUUCUCUGUAUUGUCCCUCAUUUAACUCCUUUUAAACAUCAUUUUUUUCCUCCAGAGUCCCCUAACAUAUACUUCCUUUCCAUUUUUACCCCUCCACCUGUCCAACCCAUACCCUAAUCAAUGUACUACAUGAACAGUUCAGAUUGCAUCAAGGUAUAGUAGUUG
RNAcentral lists this long non-coding RNA (25376 nucleotides) under Malus domestica (apple). RNAcentral describes it as "long non-coding RNA (MDOM_LNC011834)". Lineage: Eukaryota; Viridiplantae; Streptophyta; Magnoliopsida; Rosales; Rosaceae. The record is from RNAcentral.